This 222-nucleotide long non-coding RNA is filed under the name Phoenix dactylifera (date palm). Its description in RNAcentral is "long non-coding RNA (PDAC_LNC014485)". Lineage: Eukaryota; Viridiplantae; Streptophyta; Magnoliopsida; Arecales; Arecaceae. The record is from RNAcentral.
UUUGUGUCCGUGUUGGUCCCCUUCCUCCUUCCCCCCAGGUUCCCUUUUAUAGAAGGGUAUUUUGUUACCUGGGAGGUGACAGGGGAUUUGUCCUCUUUCGUGAUAAUUGAGCACGAUUUGGCUCAUUAAUGGCGUAGUGGAGAAUAAGGCCGAAUCAGACCGGAGUCAGGGAGUUGUCGCGGUUGAUCAGACCCGUUGGAGUGGUUGAACCGUCGGCCGUGG